UUGGGAUGUAGAUCAAUUGGCAGAUCGUCGGCCUCUGACUCCGAAGGUUCCACGUUCGAUCCGUGGCAUCCCAGCCAA
Molecule: transfer RNA, 78 nt
Filed under: Escherichia phage JLBYU40
Lineage: Duplodnaviria; Heunggongvirae; Uroviricota; Caudoviricetes; Demerecviridae
Description: tRNA-Gln
Rfam family: tRNA
About the family: Transfer RNA (tRNA) molecules are approximately 80 nucleotides in length.
Source: RNAcentral